UAAGUUAGACGUGAGUAUGGCUAUACAAA
Molecule: microRNA, 29 nt
Filed under: Drosophila melanogaster (fruit fly)
Lineage: Eukaryota; Metazoa; Arthropoda; Insecta; Diptera; Drosophilidae
Description: dme-miR-2489-5p
Source: miRBase by way of RNAcentral